This 399-nucleotide ribosomal RNA is filed under the name uncultured bacterium. RNAcentral describes it as "bacterial SSU rRNA". It matches the Rfam family "Bacterial small subunit ribosomal RNA", at positions 358 to 772 of the family's 1533-position model. The record is from RNAcentral.
GGAAUCUUGCGCAAUGGACGGAAGUCUGACGCAGCGACGCCGCGUGGGUGAAGACGGCCUUCGGGUUGUAAAGCCCUUUUCUGGAGGAAGAGGGAGGACGGUACUCCAGGAAUAAGUGUCGGCUAACUACGUGCCAGCAGCCGCGGUAAUACGUAGGACACGAGCGUUAUCCGGAUUUACUGGGCGUAAAGCGCCUGUAGGCGGUUCUUCAAGUCGUUUGUGAAAGCCCUGGGCUCAACCUGGGGAGGCCAAGCGAUACUGGAGGACUUGAGGGUGACGAGAGGGGAGUGGAAUUUCCGGUGUAGCGGUAAAAUGCGCAGAUAUCGGGAGGAACACCAGUGGCGAAGGCGGCUCCCUGGGUCACACCAGACGCUGAGAGGCGAAAGCUAGGGGAGCGAA